AUGAGACACAGUCUUAAUAAAAACCCUUUCACACUGCACAAUGAAGCACUGUGGUACACUUUUGGUGGAGGAACUAAACUGACCAUCGCUGGUCCCGCAGUGAAGCCCUCCGUGUCUCUGCUGCCUCCCUCUUCUCUGCAGAUCUCUGGAGACUCAGCCCCACUGCUCUGUCUGCUCAGCUCUUACUCUCCACAGGGGGCGCAGGUGAGCUGGACGCUGGACGGGUCAGAGGUCACCGAGGGGGUUCAGACCAGCGCAGAGAGCGAGCGGGACGGACGCUACAGCCGCAGCAGCAUCCUGAGCCUCAGCAAAGCACGCUGGGAAGCCGGCGAGCGCUUCGUCUGCAGAGUAACACAUGACGGAGCUGAUCACGAGACCUCGUUCCUCAAGAGCUCCGAGUGCUGAUGUUUCUCCAGUGAAGAGCAGCAGGAUUCACAGCAGUCUCCUGAUUUACAGCUCAAUACUCAAGCAGUCUUUCAAUGUGCUGCCAUUGCUGUUCAUUCAAUAAAGCUUCUGAACGCCUUC
This is a non-coding RNA of Carassius gibelio (silver crucian carp), 525 nucleotides long. Lineage: Eukaryota; Metazoa; Chordata; Actinopteri; Cypriniformes; Cyprinidae. The record is from the annotation of a RefSeq genome assembly.